RNAcentral lists this unclassified non-coding RNA (315 nucleotides) under uncultured fungus. Its description in RNAcentral is "sequence contains ITS1". The stretch from base 1 to 106 matches the Rfam family "5.8S ribosomal RNA", at positions 50 to 154 of the family's 154-position model. The record is from RNAcentral. Lineage: Eukaryota; Fungi.
CAAAUGCGAUACGUAAUGCGAAUUGCAGAAAUCCGUGAGUCAUCAAAUCUUUGAACGCAAAUGGCGCUUGGGCAAACAAUAACCAAGCAUGUUUAUUUCAGUGUAUUAGGAAUCAUAAAUAAUAAUGUGAUUGAAUUUAUUUAUAAAUUCUCUCACUAAAUUCGUAAGUGCUGAAUCGUUCAGUGCUGACCGAAGUAGUCACUUCUUGCAAGUGAUCUCGGUUUGGCAAUACUGAAGAUUCACUAAAGCAUCUUAUUAAUUUUUAUAAUUCUCCAUUCAAUACCUGAAAUUAGCAAGAACACCCGCUGAACUUAA